AAGCUUCUAUCCUAACUGCGGGUAAGCAAGGGUAGUAGGUUGCGACAAGGUAAACGGCUCACAAACAUUUCUACCAUGCAUCCUAUCUCAGGUUAUUGCAUAAAAGUAAAGCGCUAGCUUCUACAUUCAUGGCAUGACUAAUAGGAUUCUACGAGGUUGGGUGGGACGUGGCACCUGGCAAGUCGUCCUCGAGCUCCUCAGUGUAGUCAGGGUCGUACUCCUCAGUCGUCGGCUCCUCCGGGUCUGUCAAACGAGACAUAUGGUCGCGAUAAGCGACUCCUAUAGAUAUCACAAAAAUCGAAUAGAAGAACCGAAAGAACCAAAUGCACUCAUAAAUAAGCCUAAGACGUAGAGUUCGUUUUUAGAAGAAUUUAGAUGCUUGGUUUGUAUUUUUCGGAAAUCAUUUAGGAGUUUAAAUGAUUUAUGCCAGGUUUAAGUUUGGAAGAAGAAAAGAAAAAAAGAAAAGAGGCUGGUUCAGUGGCUUGGGCUCAAACUGGCCCAACUCAGCGGCC
RNAcentral lists this long non-coding RNA (512 nucleotides) under Sorghum bicolor (sorghum). Its description in RNAcentral is "long non-coding RNA (SBIC_LNC015596)". Lineage: Eukaryota; Viridiplantae; Streptophyta; Magnoliopsida; Poales; Poaceae. The record is from RNAcentral.